GAUGAACGCUGACAGAAUGCUUAACACAUGCAAGUCAACUUGGACUUCGGUUUGGGUGGCGGACGGGUGAGUAACGCGUAAAGAACUUGCCUCACAGCUAGGGACAACAUUUGGAAACGAAUGCUAAUACCUGAUAUUAUGAUUUUAGGGCAUCCUAGAAUUAUGAAAGCUAUAUGCGCUGUGAGAGAGCUUUGCGUCCCAUUAGCUAGUUGGAGAGGUAACGGCUCACCAAGGCGAUGAUGGGUAGCCGGCCUGAGAGGGUGAUCGGCCACAAGGGGACUGAGACACGGCCCUUACUCCUACGGGAGGCAGCAGUGGGGAAUAUUGGACAAUGGACCAAGAGUCUGAUCCAGCAAUUCUGUGUGCACGAUGAAGUUUUUCGGAAUGUAAAGUGCUUUCAGUUGGGAAGAAAAAAAUGACGGUACCAACAGAAGAAGUGACGGUUAAAUACGUGCCAGCAGCCGCGGUAAUACGUAUGUCACAAGCGUUAUCCGGAUUUAUUGGGCGUAAAGCGCGUCUAGGUGGUUAUAUAAGUCUGAUGUGAAAAUGCAGGGCUCAACUCUGUAUUGCGUUGGAAACUGUGUAACUAGAGUACUGGAGAGGUAAGCGGAACUACAAGUGUAGAGGUGAAAUUCGUAGAUAUUUGUAGGAAUGCCGAUGGGGAAGCCAGCUUACUGGACAGAUACUGACGCUGAAGCGCGAAAGCGUGGGUAGCAAACAGG
Molecule: ribosomal RNA, 722 nt
Filed under: uncultured Fusobacterium sp.
Lineage: Bacteria; Fusobacteriati; Fusobacteriota; Fusobacteriia; Fusobacteriales; Fusobacteriaceae
Description: bacterial SSU rRNA
Rfam family: Bacterial small subunit ribosomal RNA
Source: RNAcentral